CUUGCCUGACAGUGGUUUCUGACGCCAUCACUAUCACGCCUCGAACCUAGGAGGUGUGGCUGGCACCCGAUGCCGCACUGGCCUGAGCGAACCACUCUGUAACUCAUGAUCAUUUGACCAAAACUUGAACAUACAUAGGUCGAGUUAGCUGAACUCAUUUCACUUGUAACUAUCAUGGACCCAUAUGGCCACAACUCAUAAUGUAUAACUGUAAGUGGGCAACAUUGUAUCAAUAAACUAUCGUUCUUAAAAACAUGAAUACAUAUGGGCCGGCAAGGCCUCUGACAUAUUGUACAAAAUGAACGUUUGUCUACAAAGCCUCUAAGAUUAUUUGACAUAAAAUAGGACAGGGUAACGGCCUACCCAUAAGUCUAUAGUAAAACUCUGACACGAUGAGUCAUAGACUUGGCUGCACUUCGAAUAAGUUGGAGUCUUACCAAUCCUUCGCUGAAUGUCAAUCUCGUCUAUUAUGAGGGCUCGUCAAGCUGAUUAUCUAUACCUGUAAGUCUGAAUAGCUCUGUAAAUCAUGAAAUAUUUAUAAUGUCAUGUAUAUGUGUAUAAAUAACAUGUAAUGCAUAGGUCAGUACGUACAUAACAUCAUCAAGCCUCUGGGGGCACCCCAUUAUAUCAUUUCAGCCACUGUGGGCAUCGUAUACCAGCUGAUCAGGUGGUGGUGCGUAUAUAACGCCGUAACCUUUUCCCAUAUAUAUAUAUAUAUAUACGUGUAUAUAACGCUGUCUGAGUCAUAUUUCAGCCACUGUGGGCAACAUCAUCAUCGCAUACCAACUGAUCAGGUGGUGGUGCAUAUAUAACGCCGUAACCUUUUCUCAUAUCCCAUAUACAUAUAUAUACAUAUAUACGCGUAUAUAACACCGUUUGAGUCGUAUUUCAGCCACUGUAGGCAACAUCAUCAUCGUAUACCAGCAGAUCAGGUGGUGGUGCGUAUAUAACGUCGUAACCUUUUCCCAUAUCCCAUAUAUAUGCGUAUAUAAUGCCAUUUGAUCAUGGGUCAAUGCACAUGUAUAAAUGGGUGAAAUGCAUGAAAAAAAUACGUAAUAAUCUCAAUAUUCCUUCCAGAUAAACUUUUUCAACUGCGUAUUAUUCUAAAAUUCAUGAAUAGAAGAUAAUAAUAAUUUUCAUAGGGAAUCAAGAAUAUAGACACCCCUAAUAUUUCUAUGAAUAGAGUAAUUAUGAAAACUAUGUGUGUGCUCGUUUCUUCGAUAUAAUUUGGACCAUGCCAAAAGAAAGAAGGAAUGACCUUAACAUAUAUACCUAAGCAAGACAUGCUUCAUCUCGUUUAAGCUCAAAAAUAAUGUGUUUGAAGUGUCCUUCAAAUAGUGCUACGAAUACUAGCUAGUUUAAGGAAAAACAAAAGAUUCAAUUAGUGCGCAUAUAAAAUACGUUAUGUCCCAUGGCACAUGAAGAAUCGACUUGAAAAAAAUAUAUAACAAAAACAUCAAUAAUCCACUAACAAUCCUUAUUUAUGUUUUCAUGUCACUUAUGUACUAAAUGAGUGAUAUUCUUGGAUAAUUCUAUUUACGAUCUUUAACUCUUUCAUCUAAAGAGGUAUCAAGUAUUUUACAAAUAUUUUACUUAAUACCUUGUUUCUCCUACUCACAGAGUAUAGUCAUAAGUACGUGAUAUAAAACAGUGUUUCUAGUUGAUACCACAAACCAUAGCCAACACUAGACUAAUUUUUCCAUUUAAAUGUUAGCAGAAUUUUCUAUAAUAACUCAUACAGAUGUUAGCAAAUAUUUUGUGCAAUUGUACAAUUAAACACAGCUUAAAUUACUACGAAUACGUACCACAAUAGUGACAUCGUGCAAACAGGGGUAAUAACCCAUUCACCAUAUUUCUCAUUUUCUUUAAUUAAUCAUCAGCUCUUCACACUUAAUCAGAAUUCUUUGAAUUUGAAACCCAGUCCUCAUUACAGCUCCUCAGUCCCAAAUCUCACGUAAAAUCAAGCAGUGCAUGCUACAAACACCUCAUAAACACAUGGAAUUUACGUUCAUUUGCCCUUUCUUUUUCUCUGUAAAGUGACAUGUGAAUUUGGGUAUAAAAAGAUUGAAAUUUGAGUUUUUGGGAGUUGAAAAUCCAGAGAGAAUGGUUUUAGGUUUCGUGUUUUUAACGGCCAAAAUCAU
RNAcentral lists this long non-coding RNA (2141 nucleotides) under Nicotiana tabacum (common tobacco). RNAcentral's name for it is "long non-coding RNA (NTAB_LNC013351)". The record is from RNAcentral. Lineage: Eukaryota; Viridiplantae; Streptophyta; Magnoliopsida; Solanales; Solanaceae.